This 360-nucleotide ribosomal RNA is filed under the name uncultured bacterium. RNAcentral describes it as "partial 16S ribosomal RNA". It matches the Rfam family "Bacterial small subunit ribosomal RNA", at positions 338 to 691 of the family's 1533-position model. The record is from RNAcentral.
CCUACGGGAGGCAGCAGUAGGGAAUUUUCGUCAAUGGGCGCAAGCCUGAACGAGCAAUGCCGCGUGAACGAGGAAGGUCUUCGGAUCGUAAAGUUUUGUUGAUGGGGAAAUAGAGCGGAGAGAGGAAAUGGUCUCCGAUUGAUAUUACCCUUCGAGGAAGUCACGGCUAACUACGGGCCAGCAGCCGCGGCAAUACGUAGGUGGCGAGCGUUAUCCGGUAUGGUUGGGCGUAAAGGGUGCGUAGGCGGCCUGCUAAGUCUGGAGUGAAAGGGACCGGCUCAACCGGUACAGGGUCUGGAAACUGGCGGGCUAGGAGGCAAGAGAGGGCAGUGGAACUCCAUGUGUAACGGGAAAAUGCGU